UACGUAGGUGGCAAGCGUUAUCCGGAUUUACUGGGUUUAAAGGGUGCGUAGGUGGGUCUGUAAGUCAGUGGUGAAAUCUCCGAGCUUAACUCGGAAACUGCCAUUGAUACUAUAGAUCUUGAAUUAUCUGGAGGUAAGCGGAAUAUGUCAUGUAGCGGUGAAAUGCUUAGAUAUGACAUAGAACACCAAUUGCGAAGGCAGCUUACUACGGAUCGAUUGACACUGAGGCACGAAAGCGUGGGGAUCAAACAGG
RNAcentral lists this ribosomal RNA (253 nucleotides) under uncultured bacterium. RNAcentral describes it as "partial 16S ribosomal RNA". It matches the Rfam family "Bacterial small subunit ribosomal RNA", at positions 524 to 776 of the family's 1533-position model. The record is from RNAcentral.